CCAAUAGCGUAUAUUAAAGUUGUUGCAGUUAAAAAGCUCGUAGUUGAACCUCGGGGUCUACCCAUUGGUCAGGCUUAAUUGUCUGCACUGGUGAGAUGGAUCUCUACCUUCUGAGGAACUUUCAUGCCAUUUAUUUGGUGUGAUGGGAAAUCAGGACUGUUACUUUGAAAAAAUUAGAGUGUUUAAAGCAGACUAUCGUCUGAAUACAUUAGCAUGGAAUAAUGAAAUAGGACGGACUGAUUCUAUUUCGUUGGUUUCUAGGAUCACCGUAAUGAUUAAUAGGGAUAGUUGGGGGCAUUAGUAUUCAAUUGUCAGAGGUGAAAUUCUUGGAUUUAUUGAAGACUAACUACUGCGAAAGCAUUUGCCAAGGAUGUUUUCAUUAAUCAAGAACGAAAGUUAGGGGAUCGAAGACGAUCAGAUACCGUCGUAGUCUUAACCAUAAACUAUGCCGACUAGGGAUCGGACGAAGUUAAUUUUUUAAUGAUUCAUUUGGCGCCUUACG
RNAcentral lists this ribosomal RNA (502 nucleotides) under uncultured Glomeromycotina. RNAcentral's name for it is "partial small subunit ribosomal RNA". It matches the Rfam family "Eukaryotic small subunit ribosomal RNA", at positions 591 to 1092 of the family's 1831-position model. The record is from RNAcentral. Lineage: Eukaryota; Fungi; Glomeromycota.